Molecule: non-coding RNA, 189 nt
Rfam family: 6S / SsrS RNA
About the family: E. coli 6S RNA was the first non coding RNA to be sequenced, but its function was unknown until recently. It consists of 184 nucleotides that fold into an extended hairpin structure with a large single-stranded internal bulge.
Source: Rfam
AGGUGUCUGAAGAGUACGACAUUAGUUUUUAUAUUUUGACCUAACACUUUAUGAUCAGGGAGCCUAAUAGGUUUUCUUAGGAUGCACACGCCUCUACUGGAGGACUUGCUGAAUAAGAAACAGGGCACCCACCUGAAUUUAUCAGGCCAAAAUGAUCAACUAUACAAUGACGGCUCAGUUGGAUACUAU